AAAUUGAAGAGUUUGAUCAUGGCUCAGAUUGAACGCUGGCGGCAGGCCUAACACAUGCAAGUCGAACGGUAACAGGAAGCAGCUUGCUGCUUCGCUGACAAGUGGCGGACGGGUGAGUAAUGUCUGGGAAACUGCCUGAUGGAGGGGGAUAACUACUGGAAACGGUGGCUAAUACCGCAUAACGUCGCAAGACCAAAGAGGGGGACCUUCGGGCCUCUUGCCAUCAGAUGUGCCCAGAUGGGAUUAGCUAGUUGGUGAGGUAACGGCUCACCAAGGCGACGAUCCCUAGCUGGUCUGAGAGGAUGACCAGCCACACUGGAACUGAGACACGGUCCAGACUCCUACGGGAGGCAGCAGUGGGGAAUAUUGCACAAUGGGCGCAAGCCUGAUGCAGCCAUGCCGCGUGUAUGAAGAAGGCCUUCGGGUUGUAAAGUACUUUCAGCGGGGAGGAAGGUGUUGUGGUUAAUAACC
Molecule: ribosomal RNA, 471 nt
Filed under: Salmonella enterica
Lineage: Bacteria; Pseudomonadati; Pseudomonadota; Gammaproteobacteria; Enterobacterales; Enterobacteriaceae
Also listed under: 2 other names
Description: bacterial SSU rRNA
Rfam family: Bacterial small subunit ribosomal RNA
Source: RNAcentral